This 28-nucleotide non-coding RNA is filed under the name Homo sapiens (human). Lineage: Eukaryota; Metazoa; Chordata; Mammalia; Primates; Hominidae. The record is from RNAcentral.
UCCACGGUCAGAAAUGCAAAUUAACAUG